AACGGACGCUGGCGGCAUGCCUAACACAUGCAAGUCGAACGAGACCUUCGGGUCUAGUGGCGCACGGGUGCGUAACGCGUGGGAACCUGCCUUUAGGUUCGGAAUAACUCAGAGAAAUUUGAGCUAAUACCGGAUGAUGUCUUCGGACCAAAGAUUUAUCGCCUUUAGAUGGGCCCGCGUUGGAUUAGCUAGUUGGUGGGGUAAAGGCCUACCAAGGCGACGAUCCAUAGCUGGUCUGAGAGGAUGAUCAGCCACACUGGGACUGAGACACGGCCCAGACUCCUACGGGAGGCAGCAGUGGGGAAUAUUGGACAAUGGGCGAAAGCCUGAUCCAGCAAUGCCGCGUGGGUGAUGAAGGCCUUAGGGUUGUAAAGCUCUUUUACCCGAGAUGAUAAUGACAGUAUCGGGAGAAUAAGCUCCGGCUAACUCCGUG
RNAcentral lists this ribosomal RNA (433 nucleotides) under uncultured bacterium. RNAcentral's name for it is "partial 16S ribosomal RNA". It matches the Rfam family "Bacterial small subunit ribosomal RNA", at positions 29 to 507 of the family's 1533-position model. The record is from RNAcentral.